Molecule: ribosomal RNA, 1115 nt
Filed under: Myroides odoratimimus
Lineage: Bacteria; Pseudomonadati; Bacteroidota; Flavobacteriia; Flavobacteriales; Flavobacteriaceae
Description: bacterial SSU rRNA
Rfam family: Bacterial small subunit ribosomal RNA
Source: RNAcentral
UACGAUGAAGAGUUUGAUCCUGGCUCAGGAUGAACGCUAGCGGCAGGCCUAACACAUGCAAGUCGAGGGGUAGAAGAAGCUUGCUUUUUUGAGACCGGCGCACGGGUGAGUAACGCGUAUGCAACCUACCUUAUACAGGGGAAUAGCCCGAAGAAAUUCGGAUUAAUGCUCCAUGGUUUAUCGAUAUGGCAUCGUAUUGAUAAUAAAGAUUUAUCGGUAUAAGAUGGGCAUGCGUAUCAUUAGCUAGUUGGUGUGGUAACGGCAUACCAAGGCAACGAUGAUUAGGGGUCCUGAGAGGGAGAUCCCCCACACUGGUACUGAGACACGGACCAGACUCCUACGGGAGGCAGCAGUGAGGAAUAUUGGUCAAUGGAGGCAACUCUGAACCAGCCAUGCCGCGUGCAGGAUGACGGUCCUAUGGAUUGUAAACUGCUUUUGUACAGGAAGAAACCUCCCUACGAGUAGGGACUUGACGGUACUGUAAGAAUAAGGAUCGGCUAACUCCGUGCCAGCAGCCGCGGUAAUACGGAGGAUCCGAGCGUUAUCCGGAAUUAUUGGGUUUAAAGGGUUCGUAGGCGGCUUUGUAAGUCAGUGGUGAAAUUUCCUAGCUUAACUAGGACACUGCCAUUGAUACUGCAGAGCUUGAAUAAUAUGGAAGUAACUAGAAUAUGUAGUGUAGCGGUGAAAUGCUUAGAUAUUACAUGGAAUACCAAUUGCGAAGGCAGGUUACUACGUAUUUAUUGACGCUGAUGAACGAAAGCGUGGGGAGCGAACAGGAUUAGAUACCCUGGUAGUCCACGCCGUAAACGAUGGAUACUAGCUGUUCGGUUUUCGGACUGAGUGGCUAAGCGAAAGUGAUAAGUAUCCCACCUGGGGAGUACGUUCGCAAGAAUGAAACUCAAAGGAAUUGACGGGGGCCCGCACAAGCGGUGGAGCAUGUGGUUUAAUUCGAUGAUACGCGAGGAACCUUACCAGGGCUUAAAUGUAGAUUGACAGAUUUGGAAACAGAUUUUUCUUCGGACAAUUUACAAGGUGCUGCAUGGUUGUCGUCAGCUCGUGCCGUGAGGUGUCAGGUUAAGUCCUAUAACGAGCGCAACCCCUAUUGUUAGUUACCA